GAGAUGGGGAUAACUAUUAGAAAUAGUAGCUAAUACCGAAUAAAGUCAAUUAAGAUGUUAGUUGAUGAAAGGAAGCCUUUAAAGCUUCGCUUGUAGAUGAGUCUGCGUCUUAUUAGCUAGUUGGUGGGAUAAGAGCCUACCAAGGCUAUGAUAAGUAACCGGCCUGAGAGGGUGAUCGGUCACACUGGAACUGAGAUACGGUCCAGACUCCUACGGGAGGCAGCAGCUAAGAAUCUUCCGCAAUGGGCGAAAGCCUGACGGAGCGACACUGCGUGAACGAAGAAGGUCGAAAGAUUGUAAAGUUCUUUUAUAAGUGAGGAAUAAGCUUUGUAGGAAAUGACAAAGCGAUGACGUUAAUUUAUGAAUAAGCCCCGGCUAAUUACGUGCCAGCAGCCGCGGUAAUACGUAAGGGGCGAGCGUUGUUCGGGAUCAUUGGGCGUAAAGGGUGAGUAGGCGGAUAUGCAAGUCUAUGUGUAAAAUACCACAGCUCAACUGUGGAACUAUGCUGGAAACUGCAUGACUAGAGUCUGAUAGGGGAAGUUAGAAUUCCUGGUGUAAGGGUGGAAUCUGUUGAUAUCAGGAAGAAUACCAGAGGCGAAGGCGAACUUCUAGGUCAAGACUGACGCUGAGUCACGAAAGCGUAGGGAGCAAACAGGAUUAGAUACCCUGGUAGUCUACGCUGUAAACGAUGCACACUUGGUGUUAAUCGAAAGGUUAGUACCGAAGCUAACGUGUUAAGUGUGCCGCCUGGGGAGUAUGUUCGCAAGAAUGAAACUCAAAGGAAUUGACGGGGGCCCGCACAAGCGGUGGAGCAUGUGGUUUAAUUCGAUGAUACGCGAGGAACCUUACCAGGGCUUGACAUAUACAGGAUAUAGUUAGAGAUAACUAUUCCCCGUUUGGGGUCUGUAUACAGGUGCUGCAUGGUUGUCGUCAGCUCGUGCCGUGAGGUGUUGGGUUAAGUCCCGCAACGAGCGCAACCCUUGUUGUCUGUUACCAGCAUGUAAAGAUGGGGACUCAGACGAGACUGCCGGUGAUAAGCCGGAGGAAGGUGAGGAUGACGUCAAAUCAUCAUGGCCCUUAUGUCCUGGGCUACACACGUGCUACAAUGGCCUGUACAAAGCGAUGCGAAACAGUGAUGUGAAGCAAAACGCAGAAAGCAGGUCUCAGUCCAGAUUGAAGUCUGAAACUCGGCUUCAUGAAGUUGGAAUCGCUAGUAAUCGUAUAUCAGAAUGAUACGGUGAAUACGUU
RNAcentral lists this ribosomal RNA (1248 nucleotides) under Borrelia miyamotoi. RNAcentral describes it as "bacterial SSU rRNA". It matches the Rfam family "Bacterial small subunit ribosomal RNA", at positions 134 to 1372 of the family's 1533-position model. The record is from RNAcentral. Lineage: Bacteria; Pseudomonadati; Spirochaetota; Spirochaetia; Spirochaetales; Borreliaceae.